GAUACCCUAUUAUUUUAGAUGUUAUUAAUUUUCUAUAAUUAUUAUUAGUUAAGUUCUUUAAAAUUAAACAAUUUGGCGGUAUUUUAGUCUAUUCAGAGGAACCUGUUUUUAAAUCGAUGGUCCACGAUAAUUUUUACUUUAAUUUUAAAUUUAUAUAUCGUCGUUAUUAAUAAUUUUAUGAGAAUUUUAAUUUUUGAGAUUUUUUAUUAUAAUCUAGUUCAGAUCAAGGUGUAGUUUAUAUUAAAGUUAAAAUGGGUUACAUUUCAAUUAUGAUUGGUUCUUUUUUUUUAAAUUUUUAGAUAAAUUGGAUUUGAUAGUAAAUUCUUUAUUUAGNGGAGUUGAUUUAGCUCUAAAAUAUGCACACAUCGCC
This 370-nucleotide ribosomal RNA is filed under the name Blaps kollari. RNAcentral describes it as "partial 12S ribosomal RNA". Lineage: Eukaryota; Metazoa; Arthropoda; Insecta; Coleoptera; Tenebrionidae. The record is from RNAcentral.